RNAcentral lists this ribosomal RNA (494 nucleotides) under uncultured bacterium. RNAcentral describes it as "partial 16S ribosomal RNA". It matches the Rfam family "Bacterial small subunit ribosomal RNA", at positions 28 to 507 of the family's 1533-position model. The record is from RNAcentral.
GACGAACGCUGGCGGCGUGCUUAACACAUGCAAGUCGAACGGUGAAGCGCCUUCCUUUUUGGUGGGCGUGGAUGAGUGGCGAACGGGUGAGUAACACGUGAGUAACCUGCCCCCUUCUUCUGGAUAACCGCAUGAAAGUGUGGCUAAUACGGGAUAUUCUGGGUCUGUCGCAUGAUGGGUCUGGGAAAGAUAUUGUUUCGGUGGGGGAUGGGCUCGCGGCCUAUCAGCUUGUUGGUGGGGUGAUGGCCUACCAAGGCGGUGACGGGUAGCCGGCCUGAGAGGGUGGACGGUCACACUGGGACUGAGACACGGCCCAGACUCCGACGGGAGGCAGCGGUGGGGAAUAUUGCACAAUGGGCGCAAGCCUGAUGCAGCGACGCCGCGUGAGGGAUGGAGGCCGUCGGGUUGUGAACCUCUUUCGCCAGUGAAGCAGGCCUGCCUCGUUUGUGGGUGGGUUGACGGUAGCUGGAUAAGAAGCGCCGGCUAACUACGUG